This 770-nucleotide ribosomal RNA is filed under the name Bacillus halotolerans. RNAcentral describes it as "bacterial SSU rRNA". It matches the Rfam family "Bacterial small subunit ribosomal RNA", at positions 113 to 867 of the family's 1533-position model. The record is from RNAcentral. Lineage: Bacteria; Bacillati; Bacillota; Bacilli; Caryophanales; Bacillaceae.
ACACGUGGGUAACCUGCCUGUAAGACUGGGAUAACUCCGGGAAACCGGGGCUAAUACCGGAUGCUUGUUUGAACCGCAUGGUUCAAACAUAAAAGGUGGCUUCGGCUACCACUUACAGAUGGACCCGCGGCGCAUUAGCUAGUUGGUGAGGUAAUGGCUCACCAAGGCAACGAUGCGUAGCCGACCUGAGAGGGUGAUCGGCCACACUGGGACUGAGACACGGCCCAGACUCCUACGGGAGGCAGCAGUAGGGAAUCUUCCGCAAUGGACGAAAGUCUGACGGAGCAACGCCGCGUGAGUGAUGAAGGUUUUCGGAUCGUAAAGCUCUGUUGUUAGGGAAGAACAAGUACCGUUCGAAUAGGGCGGUACCUUGACGGUACCUAACCAGAAAGCCACGGCUAACUACGUGCCAGCAGCCGCGGUAAUACGUAGGUGGCAAGCGUUGUCCGGAAUUAUUGGGCGUAAAGGGCUCGCAGGCGGUUCCUUAAGUCUGAUGUGAAAGCCCCCGGCUCAACCGGGGAGGGUCAUUGGAAACUGGGGAACUUGAGUGCAGAAGAGGAGAGUGGAAUUCCACGUGUAGCGGUGAAAUGCGUAGAGAUGUGGAGGAACACCAGUGGCGAAGGCGACUCUCUGGUCUGUAACUGACGCUGAGGAGCGAAAGCGUGGGGAGCGAACAGGAUUAGAUACCCUGGUAGUCCACGCCGUAAACGAUGAGUGCUAAGUGUUAGGGGGUUUCCGCCCCUUAGUGCUGCAGCUAACGCAUUAAGCAC